Molecule: ribosomal RNA, 465 nt
Filed under: uncultured bacterium
Lineage: Bacteria
Description: partial 16S ribosomal RNA
Rfam family: Bacterial small subunit ribosomal RNA
Source: RNAcentral
GACGAACGCUGGCGGUGUGCUUAACACAUGCAAGUCGAACGGUAAGGCCCUUUCGGGGGUACACGAGUGGCGAACGGGUGAGUAACACGUGAGUAACCCGCCCUCAUCUCUGGGAUAACAGUCGGAAACGGUUGCUAAUACUGGAUAUGAGCCUGCAAGGCAUCUUGUGGGUUGGAAAGAUUUUUUGGUUGGGGAUGGACUCGCGGCCUAUCAGCUUGUUGGUGAGGUAGUGGCUCACCAAGGCUUCGACGGGUAGCCGGCCUGAGAGGGCGACCGGCCACAUUGGGACUGAGAUACGGCCCAAACUCCUACGGGAGGCAGCAGUGGGGAAUAUUGCACAAUGGACGGAAGUCUGAUGCAGCAACGCCGCGUGCGGGAUGACGGCCUUCGGGUUGUAAACCGCUUUCAAUUGUGACGAAGCUUUUUGUGACGGUAGCAGUAGAAGAAGCACCGGCUAACUACGUG